CUACGGGCGGCAGCAGUGGGGAAUAUUGGACAAUGGGGGAAACCCUGAUCCAGCAAUGCCGCGUGUGUGAAGAAGGCCUGCGGGUUGUAAAGCACUUUCGGUUGGGAGGACUGCUUCUAGCACUAAUAUUGUUGGAAGUUGACGUUACCUUCAGAAGAAGCACCGGCUAACUCCGUGCCAGCAGCCGCGGUAAUACGGAGGGUGCAAGCGUUAAUCGGAAGUACUGGGCGUAAAGCGCGCGUAGGCGGCUAGAUCAGUCGGGUGUGAAAGCCCCGGGCUUAACCUGGGAACUGCAUCCGAUACUGUCUAGCUUGAGUACAGGAGAGGAGAGUGGAAUUCCACAUGUAGCGGUGAAAUGCGUAGAUAUGUGGAGGAACACCAAUGGCGAAGGCAGCUCUCUGGCCUGAUACUGACGCUGAGGUGCGAAAGCGUGGGGAGCAAACUGGAUUAGAUACCCGCGUAGUC
RNAcentral lists this ribosomal RNA (465 nucleotides) under uncultured bacterium. Its description in RNAcentral is "partial 16S ribosomal RNA". It matches the Rfam family "Bacterial small subunit ribosomal RNA", at positions 339 to 795 of the family's 1533-position model. The record is from RNAcentral.